RNAcentral lists this non-coding RNA (25 nucleotides) under Rattus norvegicus (Norway rat). Lineage: Eukaryota; Metazoa; Chordata; Mammalia; Rodentia; Muridae. The record is from RNAcentral.
GCUAGGCUAUCAUAGAUCCUUGAAA